CGGACAGAUGCCAGGUGGACCCGGG
This 25-nucleotide non-coding RNA is filed under the name Cricetulus griseus (Chinese hamster). Lineage: Eukaryota; Metazoa; Chordata; Mammalia; Rodentia; Cricetidae. The record is from RNAcentral.